AGGAUUUUAAGUAGAAGCUCGUCGCUUAAGAGAAGUGUACGGUCGAUUUUGGAGAAUUUGGGGAUUAGGGUUUGGGUUUUGGUUUUGGAUUCUUUGUUUGGAGUGGGGCUAGAGAGAGACUGGAGUUGCAUAGCAAAGAUGACAUGUUUUAAGGGUUUAGUAUUCUUGAGCCAGAGGUCUGACCAGCUUGGUGACCUCUUCUUCAAUGGUUGGUUAGCGUCUGUGAUUGGUUCCUCUGCUGAAAAUGACAUUGUGAUCUUGAGGAGACAGUGGUGGCGCUGCUGCUGCUGCUCUGUUUUAGCUCUGCUUCCAGUGGACAGAGCAGAUAUCCAUCCUCUGUUUCUCUCUCUACAGUAUUUUCUCAGCUAAAUGCCUAAAUCCCUCUCUCUACCAGCUGUGACUACUAACAGGAAUCGCAUUUCUGUCUGAAGAAACUAAGUUGGAUGUUUCCUCUUGGUUUUCUUUGAGCU
RNAcentral lists this unclassified non-coding RNA (470 nucleotides) under Hevea brasiliensis (rubber tree). The record is from RNAcentral. Lineage: Eukaryota; Viridiplantae; Streptophyta; Magnoliopsida; Malpighiales; Euphorbiaceae.